AGUGGCGCACGGGUGAGUAACACGUAGGUAAUGUGCCUUUGGGUGGGGAAUAACUUAGGGAAACUUAAGCUAAUACCGCAUAAUGCAGCGGCUCGACAUCGAGACAGUUGUUAAAGAUUUAUCGCCUAAAGAGCAGCCUGCGGCAGAUUAGCUAGUUGGUAAGGUAAUGGCUUACCAAGGCUACGAUCUGUAACCGACCUGAGAGGGUGGUCGGUCACACUGACACUGAAUAACGGGUCAGACUCCUACGGGAGGCAGCAGUCGGGAAUUUUGGGCAAUGGGCGAAAGCCUGACCCAGCAACGCCGCGUGAAGGAUGAAGUAUUUCGGUAUGUAAACUUCGUAAGAAUAGGAAGAAUAAAUGACGGUACUAUUUGUAAGGUCCGGCUAACUACGUGCCAGCAGCCGCGGUGAUACGUAGGGACCAAGCGUUGUUCGGAUUUACUGGGCGUAAAGGGCGCGUAGGCGGCGUGGUAAGUCAGCUGUGAAAUCUCCGAGCUUAACUCGGGACGGUCAGCUGAUACUGCUGUGCUAGAGUACAGAAAGGGCAAUCGGAAUUCUUGGUGUAGCGGUGAAAUGCGUAGAUAUCAAGAGGAACACCUGAGGCGAAGGCGGGUUGCUAGGCUGAUACUGACGCUGAGGCGCGAAAGCUAGGGUAGCAAACGGGAUUAGAUACCCCGGUAGUCCUAGCCCUAAACGAUG
Molecule: ribosomal RNA, 700 nt
Filed under: uncultured bacterium
Lineage: Bacteria
Description: bacterial SSU rRNA
Rfam family: Bacterial small subunit ribosomal RNA
Source: RNAcentral